Molecule: long non-coding RNA, 547 nt
Organism: Neopelma chrysocephalum (saffron-crested tyrant-manakin)
Lineage: Eukaryota; Metazoa; Chordata; Aves; Passeriformes; Pipridae
Exons: 4
Source: RefSeq, a predicted model, not a curated record
ACCGAACUGCGCCGGGCCGGGGCCGCCGGGACCCCCGGCCCGGGACCGUCAGCCCCGUGCGGAGGCAGCGACCGCCAGCGCUGCCGGUGCUUUGCUGUGAGGCACCGACACACACGACAAGAAACUGACAGUAUUUUAAAACUUACAGGAUUUGCCGAGUGUCGCGUUCUGUUUGAUUUUGGCAGCUAUCUCACGGUGAAUGAAACCUGGUGUCACCAAUUUCCACUCACAAAAUGGAGCUACAGAAUCCUGCAUUCUGAAGACUGAAGAAACAAAGCAGUGAGGAAGCAACCAACAUAAUUCUUACAAAAAGAGGACUUAGAAAAUGCCCAUUUACAAAAGGAUGUAGAGAUGCUUCACCAGGAUGUCCGCACAGGACCAACCUCUCCACAGACAGGGACAGUGCCUGAAUGAAGAAAGACAUCAAGACCCAAAGUCCAUUUAUAAAACAGUUGAAAAAGAAGAAUGGAAAAGAAGAGAAUAAGAAUGGAGUCGAUAAUUGAAAGCAUAAAAAGAAGCUCUAACGAGGUAGAAAGCUCCUGAAAAU